Molecule: long non-coding RNA, 223 nt
Filed under: Pelobates cultripes (western spadefoot toad)
Lineage: Eukaryota; Metazoa; Chordata; Amphibia; Anura; Pelobatidae
Source: RNAcentral
AGCAGAUGUCACAUCCCUAUACACAGUUAUUGAACAUCUACAGGGAUGUGAGGCUAUUCAAUAUGCACUUGGCACUUUUUCAGAACUUAAAAAUGAUCAAAUUGAAUACAUCAUGAAAUGUGUAGCUUUUAUCCUUAGCCACAACUUUUUUUGGGCUAACCAUCACUAUUACCUCCAGAUUGAGGGCACUGCCAUGGGAACCAGAUUUGCGCCAAGUUACACC